UACGGAGGAUGCAAGCGUUAUCCGGAGUUACUGGGCGUAAAGGGCGUGUAGGCGGUAUGUUAAGUCUGGCGUGAAAGCUCUCGGCUAAACCGGGAGAGGUCGUUGGAUACUGGCACACUAGAGGAUGGUAGAGGCGUGUGGAAUUCCGGGUGUAGUGGUGAAAUGCGUAGAGAUCCGGAGGAACACCAGUGGCGAAGGCGACACGCUGGGCCAUACCUGACGCUAAAGCGCGACAGCAUGGGGAGCAAACGGG
Molecule: ribosomal RNA, 253 nt
Filed under: uncultured bacterium
Lineage: Bacteria
Description: partial 16S ribosomal RNA
Rfam family: Bacterial small subunit ribosomal RNA
Source: RNAcentral